This 424-nucleotide ribosomal RNA is filed under the name uncultured Aequorivita sp. RNAcentral's name for it is "bacterial SSU rRNA". It matches the Rfam family "Bacterial small subunit ribosomal RNA", at positions 355 to 776 of the family's 1533-position model. Lineage: Bacteria; Pseudomonadati; Bacteroidota; Flavobacteriia; Flavobacteriales; Flavobacteriaceae. The record is from RNAcentral.
UGAGGAAUAUUGGACAAUGGGCGAGAGCCUGAUCCAGCCAUGCCGCGUGCAGGAAGACCGCCCUAUGGGUCGUAAACUGCUUUUGUACGGGAAGAAACACCCCCUCGUGAGGGGGCUUGACGGUACCGUACGAAUAAGGACCGGCUAACUCCGUGCCAGCAGCCGCGGUAAUACGGAGGGUCCGAGCGUUAUCCGGAAUCAUUGGGUUUAAAGGGUCCGUAGGCGGGCGUCUAAGUCAGUGGUGAAAUCUCGCGGCUCAACCGUGAAAUUGCCAUUGAUACUGGUCGUCUUGAAUGGUUGUGAAGUGGCUAGAAUAUGUGGUGUAGCGGUGAAAUGCUUAGAUAUCACAUAGAAUACCGAUUGCGAAGGCAGGUCACUAACAACGCAUUGACGCUGAUGGACGAAAGCGUGGGGAGCGAACAGG